This 313-nucleotide long non-coding RNA is filed under the name Trifolium pratense (red clover). RNAcentral's name for it is "long non-coding RNA (TPRA_LNC004382)". Lineage: Eukaryota; Viridiplantae; Streptophyta; Magnoliopsida; Fabales; Fabaceae. The record is from RNAcentral.
UUAUGUUUCUAAGUUUUGGGUCACAAUUGAGCCUUAAUGAAUUUAUUUGACCAAUUUUCGUAUUUAAUGACAUAUUGACACCUUCUCAUUGCGCAGACUAUAACUUGAGCUACGGAUAUCGGAUUGAGGCGCGGGAAGAUGUGUUGGAAAGCUAAGAUAAAGAGCUACAACUUUCUUGUUGAUGUCGAAAUCCAGUUCAGAGCGAAAAGGAGUCGUUUAUUCACAUUUAUGUUCCAGACUUAGUGAUAAUAAUGUAAUUUCGGGUUAAACUUCUAAUUUUCGGCCUGAUACUUUUAGAGCCCGUUUCCCAUGU